GACGAACGCUGGCGGCGUGCUUAACACAUGCAAGUCGAACGGAAAGGCCCUGCUUGCAGGGUACUCGAGUGGCGAACGGGUGAGUAACACGUGGGUGAUCUGCCCUGCACUUCGGGAUAAGCCUGGGAAACUGGGUCUAAUACCGGAUAGGAGCCAUUUUUAGUGUGAUGGUUGGAAAGUUUUUUCGGUGUAGGAUGAGCUCGCGGCCUAUCAGCUUGUUGGUGGGGUAAUGGCCUACCA
RNAcentral lists this ribosomal RNA (240 nucleotides) under uncultured Corynebacterium sp. Its description in RNAcentral is "partial 16S ribosomal RNA". It matches the Rfam family "Bacterial small subunit ribosomal RNA", at positions 28 to 270 of the family's 1533-position model. The record is from RNAcentral. Lineage: Bacteria; Bacillati; Actinomycetota; Actinomycetes; Mycobacteriales; Corynebacteriaceae.